RNAcentral lists this ribosomal RNA (563 nucleotides) under uncultured bacterium. RNAcentral's name for it is "bacterial SSU rRNA". It matches the Rfam family "Bacterial small subunit ribosomal RNA", at positions 943 to 1505 of the family's 1533-position model. The record is from RNAcentral.
GGUUUAAUUCGAAGCAACGCGCAAAACCUUACCUGGGCUUGAAAUCCUGCGAACUAACUAGAGAUAGUAUGGUGCCCUUCGGGGAACGCAGUGACAGGUGCUGCAUGGCUGUCGUCAGCUCGUGUUGUGAAAUGUUGGGUUAAGUCUCGCAACGAGCGCAACCCCUAUCUUUAGUUGCCAGCAUUAAGUUGGGCACUCUAGAGAGACUGCCUGAGUUAACCAGGAGGAAGGUGGGGAUGACGUCAAGUCCUCAUGGCCCUUAUGUCCAGGGCUACACACGUAAUACAAUGGUGCAUACAGAGGGAAGCGACCUGGUGACAGUGAGCAAAUCUCAAAAAGUGCAUCUCAGUCCGGAUUGGAGUCUGCAACUCGACUCCAUGAAGUUGGAAUCGCUAGUAAUCGUGGAUCAGCAUGCCACGGUGAAUACGUUCCCGGGCCUUGUACACACCGCCCGUCACACCAUGGGAGUUGAUCUUACCUGAAGCCGUGACCCUAGCCUUCGGGAGGGGAGCGUCUACGGUCGGAUCGAUGACUGGGGUGAAGUCGUAACAAGGUAGCCGGCG